This 377-nucleotide unclassified non-coding RNA is filed under the name uncultured Chitinophagales bacterium. Its description in RNAcentral is "contains 16S-23S intergenic spacer region". Lineage: Bacteria; Pseudomonadati; Bacteroidota; Chitinophagia; Chitinophagales. The record is from RNAcentral.
UCCCCGUUAUCCUGGGCAGUCCUUCCAGAGUUCCCGGCAUGACCCGUUGGCAACUGGAAGCAGGGGUUGCGCUCGUUGCGGGACUUAACCCAACACCUCACGGCACGAGCUGACGACAACCAUGCAGCACCUUGUAACCUACGUAUUUGCAUACGAAGACCCCUUUCAGGAUCGGUCAAGUUACAUUCUAGCCCAGGUAAGGUUCCUCGCGUAUCAUCGAAUUAAACCACCUGCUCCACCGCUUGUGCGGACCCCCGCCAAUUCCUUUGAGUUUCAACCUUGCGGUCGUACUUCCCAGGUGGUAAACUUAACGCUUUCGCUUGGACACCAACAGUAUAUCGCUGAUGUCUAGUUUACAUCGUUUAGGGCGUGGACUA